Long non-coding RNA from Daucus carota subsp. sativus, 473 nucleotides. RefSeq lists it as uncharacterized. The transcript has 2 exons. The record is from RefSeq and is a predicted model, not a curated record. NCBI's taxonomy places the organism in Eukaryota, Viridiplantae, Streptophyta, Magnoliopsida, Apiales, Apiaceae.
AAUUGUGACUGAUUUUACAUUUGCUGGAUUCACAAUUCCGAAAGGAUGGAAGACAUUUUGGAUGGUCCAUACAACAAACAAAAAUCCGAAAUACUUUCCCAAUCCAGAAACAUUUGAUCCAUCAAGAUUCCAAGGAAGUGGACCUGCUCCUUACACAUUUGUUCCUUUUGGUGGAGGAUCAAGCAUGUGUCCCGGAAAAGAGUAUAGUCGUCUUCAAAUUUUAGUGUUUCUUCAUAAUGUUGUUACUAGAUUCAUAUUGGAAAUAACCUGUACCAGUCCCCAAGAAAAUAUAGUAUUCCGAUCUUUCCCUGUACCAGUCGAAGGUCUUCCACUCCGAGUAAUUCGCCAUGAAACUUAGGGGGUGUUUGGCCGGGUUUAAAAGUCCAACUUGUAGGUUUAUAAGUUAGAAGCACUUAUUCGUACCGUUUGUAUAAAAAGUCAAGAAGUACUGCUAGAUUUUGUUUUAUGAUUUC